This 499-nucleotide ribosomal RNA is filed under the name uncultured bacterium. RNAcentral describes it as "partial 16S ribosomal RNA". It matches the Rfam family "Bacterial small subunit ribosomal RNA", at positions 28 to 507 of the family's 1533-position model. The record is from RNAcentral.
GACGAACGCUGGCGGCGUGCUUAACACAUGCAAGUCGAACGGGCCCGCCCCUGUUUUUGGGGGUGGGUUGAGUGGCGAACGGGUGAGUAUCACGUGAGUAACCUGCCCCCUGCUCCUGGAUAACUGCUUGAAAGGGCGGCUAAUACGGGGUGUGCCGGCUGGUCCGCAUGGGCCUGGUCGGGAUAGUUUCAUCUUCGGGUGGUUCGGUGGGGGAUGGGCUCGCGGCCUAUCAGCUUGUUGGGGGGGUGAUGGCCCACCAAGGCGGUGACGGGUAGCCGGCCUGAGAGGGUGGGCGGCCGCACUGGGACUGAGCCACGGCCCAGACUCCUGCGGGCGGCAGCAGUGGGGGGUAUUGCACAAUGGGCGGAAGCCUGAUGCAGCGACGUCGCGUGAGGGAUGGAGGCCUUCGGGUUGUGAACCUCUUUCUCCGGUGGUGAAGGCCCUGUCCGUUGCGGCGGGGUUGACGGUAGCCGGGUAUGAAGCGCCGGCUAACUACGUG